AGAGUUUGAUCCUGGCUCAGAUUGAACGCUGGUGGCAUGCUUAACACAUGCAAGUCGAACGGUAACAGGUCUUAGGAUGCUGACGAGUGGCGGACGGGUGAGUAACGCGUAGGAAUCUGCCCAUUUGAGGGGGAUACCAGUUGGAAACGACUGUUAAUACCGCAUAAUAUCUGUGGAUUAAAGGUGGCUUUCGGGCUGUCGCAGAUGGAUGAGCCUGCGUUGGAUUAGCUAGUUGGUGGGGUAAGGGCCCACCAAGGCUACGAUCCAUAGCUGAUUUGAGAGGAUGAUCAGCCACAUUGGGACUGAGACACGGCCCAAACUCCUACGGGAGGCAGCAGUGGGGAAUAUUGGACAAUGGGGGCAACCCUGAUCCAGCAAUGCCAUGUGUGUGAAGAAGGCCCUAGGGUUGUAAAGCACUUUAGUUGGGGAGGAAAGCCUCAAGGUUAAUAGCCUUGGGGAGGACGUUACCCAAAGAAUAAGCACCGGCUAACUCCGUGCCAGCAGCCGCGGUAAUACGGGGGGUGCAAGCGUUAAUCGGAAUUACUGGGCGUAAAGGGUCUGUAGGUGGUUUGUUAAGUCAGAUGUGAAAGCCCAGGGCUCAACCUUGGAACUGCAUUUGAUACUGGCAAACUAGAGUACGGUAGAGGAAUGGGGAAUUUCUGGUGUAGCGGUGAAAUGCGUAGAGAUCAGAAGGAACACCAAUGGCGAAGGCAACAUUCUGGACCGAUACUGACACUGAGGGACGAAAGCGUGGGGAUCAAACAGGAUUAGAUACCCUAGUAGUCC
RNAcentral lists this ribosomal RNA (786 nucleotides) under uncultured bacterium. RNAcentral's name for it is "bacterial SSU rRNA". It matches the Rfam family "Bacterial small subunit ribosomal RNA", at positions 8 to 796 of the family's 1533-position model. The record is from RNAcentral.